RNAcentral lists this ribosomal RNA (2902 nucleotides) under Escherichia coli NCCP 15656. Its description in RNAcentral is "bacterial LSU rRNA". It matches the Rfam family "Bacterial large subunit ribosomal RNA". Lineage: Bacteria; Pseudomonadati; Pseudomonadota; Gammaproteobacteria; Enterobacterales; Enterobacteriaceae. The record is from RNAcentral.
UUAAGCGACUAAGCGUACACGGUGGAUGCCCUGGCAGUCAGAGGCGAUGAAGGACGUGCUAAUCUGCGAUAAGCGUCGGUAAGGUGAUAUGAACCGUUAUAACCGGCGAUUUCCGAAUGGGGAAACCCAGUGUGUUUCGACACACUAUCAUUAACUGAAUCCAUAGGUUAAUGAGGCGAACCGGGGGAACUGAAACAUCUAAGUACCCCGAGGAAAAGAAAUCAACCGAGAUUCCCCCAGUAGCGGCGAGCGAACGGGGAGCAGCCCAGAGCCUGAAUCAGUGUGUGUGUUAGUGGAAGCGUCUGGAAAGGCGCGCGAUACAGGGUGACAGCCCCGUACACAAAAAUGCACAUGCUGUGAGCUCGAUGAGUAGGGCGGGACACGUGGUAUCCUGUCUGAAUAUGGGGGGACCAUCCUCCAAGGCUAAAUACUCCUGACUGACCGAUAGUGAACCAGUACCGUGAGGGAAAGGCGAAAAGAACCCCGGCGAGGGGAGUGAAAAAGAACCUGAAACCGUGUACGUACAAGCAGUGGGAGCACGCUUAGGCGUGUGACUGCGUACCUUUUGUAUAAUGGGUCAGCGACUUAUAUUCUGUAGCAAGGUUAACCGAAUAGGGGAGCCGAAGGGAAACCGAGUCUUAACUGGGCGUUAAGUUGCAGGGUAUAGACCCGAAACCCGGUGAUCUAGCCAUGGGCAGGUUGAAGGUUGGGUAACACUAACUGGAGGACCGAACCGACUAAUGUUGAAAAAUUAGCGGAUGACUUGUGGCUGGGGGUGAAAGGCCAAUCAAACCGGGAGAUAGCUGGUUCUCCCCGAAAGCUAUUUAGGUAGCGCCUCGUGAAUUCAUCUCCGGGGGUAGAGCACUGUUUCGGCAAGGGGGUCAUCCCGACUUACCAACCCGAUGCAAACUGCGAAUACCGGAGAAUGUUAUCACGGGAGACACACGGCGGGUGCUAACGUCCGUCGUGAAGAGGGAAACAACCCAGACCGCCAGCUAAGGUCCCAAAGUCAUGGUUAAGUGGGAAACGAUGUGGGAAGGCCCAGACAGCCAGGAUGUUGGCUUAGAAGCAGCCAUCAUUUAAAGAAAGCGUAAUAGCUCACUGGUCGAGUCGGCCUGCGCGGAAGAUGUAACGGGGCUAAACCAUGCACCGAAGCUGCGGCAGCGACGCUUAUGCGUUGUUGGGUAGGGGAGCGUUCUGUAAGCCUGUGAAGGUGUGCUGUGAGGCAUGCUGGAGGUAUCAGAAGUGCGAAUGCUGACAUAAGUAACGAUAAAGCGGGUGAAAAGCCCGCUCGCCGGAAGACCAAGGGUUCCUGUCCAACGUUAAUCGGGGCAGGGUGAGUCGACCCCUAAGGCGAGGCCGAAAGGCGUAGUCGAUGGGAAACAGGUUAAUAUUCCUGUACUUGGUGUUACUGCGAAGGGGGGACGGAGAAGGCUAUGUUGGCCGGGCGACGGUUGUCCCGGUUUAAGCGUGUAGGCUGGUUUUCCAGGCAAAUCCGGAAAAUCAAGGCUGAGGCGUGAUGACGAGGCACUACGGUGCUGAAGCAACAAAUGCCCUGCUUCCAGGAAAAGCCUCUAAGCAUCAGGUAACAUCAAAUCGUACCCCAAACCGACACAGGUGGUCAGGUAGAGAAUACCAAGGCGCUUGAGAGAACUCGGGUGAAGGAACUAGGCAAAAUGGUGCCGUAACUUCGGGAGAAGGCACGCUGAUAUGUAGGUGAAGUCCCUCGCGGAUGGAGCUGAAAUCAGUCGAAGAUACCAGCUGGCUGCAACUGUUUAUUAAAAACACAGCACUGUGCAAACACGAAAGUGGACGUAUACGGUGUGACGCCUGCCCGGUGCCGGAAGGUUAAUUGAUGGGGUCAGCGCAAGCGAAGCUCUUGAUCGAAGCCCCGGUAAACGGCGGCCGUAACUAUAACGGUCCUAAGGUAGCGAAAUUCCUUGUCGGGUAAGUUCCGACCUGCACGAAUGGCGUAAUGAUGGCCAGGCUGUCUCCACCCGAGACUCAGUGAAAUUGAACUCGCUGUGAAGAUGCAGUGUACCCGCGGCAAGACGGAAAGACCCCGUGAACCUUUACUAUAGCUUGACACUGAACAUUGAGCCUUGAUGUGUAGGAUAGGUGGGAGGCUUUGAAGUGUGGACGCCAGUCUGCAUGGAGCCGACCUUGAAAUACCACCCUUUAAUGUUUGAUGUUCUAACGUUGACCCGUGAUCCGGGUUGCGGACAGUGUCUGGUGGGUAGUUUGACUGGGGCGGUCUCCUCCUAAAGAGUAACGGAGGAGCACGAAGGUUGGCUAAUCCUGGUCGGACAUCAGGAGGUUAGUGCAAUGGCAUAAGCCAGCUUGACUGCGAGCGUGACGGCGCGAGCAGGUGCGAAAGCAGGUCAUAGUGAUCCGGUGGUUCUGAAUGGAAGGGCCAUCGCUCAACGGAUAAAAGGUACUCCGGGGAUAACAGGCUGAUACCGCCCAAGAGUUCAUAUCGACGGCGGUGUUUGGCACCUCGAUGUCGGCUCAUCACAUCCUGGGGCUGAAGUAGGUCCCAAGGGUAUGGCUGUUCGCCAUUUAAAGUGGUACGCGAGCUGGGUUUAGAACGUCGUGAGACAGUUCGGUCCCUAUCUGCCGUGGGCGCUGGAGAACUGAGGGGGGCUGCUCCUAGUACGAGAGGACCGGAGUGGACGCAUCACUGGUGUUCGGGUUGUCAUGCCAAUGGCACUGCCCGGUAGCUAAAUGCGGAAGAGAUAAGUGCUGAAAGCAUCUAAGCACGAAACUUGCCCCGAGAUGAGUUCUCCCUGACUCCUUGAGAGUCCUGAAGGAACGUUGAAGACGACGACGUUGAUAGGCCGGGUGUGUAAGCGCAGCGAUGCGUUGAGCUAACCGGUACUAAUGAACCGUGAGGCUUAACCUU